AGGUGCGAUCAUACCAGUACUAUUGCACCGGAUCCCAUGAGAACUUUGAAGUUAAGUGUGCUUCUCACUUUUUCUUGUUUUGCUCUUA
This is a non-coding RNA of Populus trichocarpa (black cottonwood), 88 nucleotides long. The record is from Rfam. NCBI's taxonomy places the organism in Eukaryota, Viridiplantae, Streptophyta, Magnoliopsida, Malpighiales, Salicaceae.